GACGAACGCUGGCGGCGUGCUUAACACAUGCAAGUCGAACGGUAAGGCUCCAGCUUGCUGGGGUACACGAGUGGCGAACGGGUGAGUAACACGUGGGUGACCUGCCCUGCACUUCGGGAUAAGCCUUGGAAACUGGGUCUAAUACCGGAUAGGACCAUGGUGUGGAUACUGUGGUGGAAAGUUUUUUCGGUGUGGGGUGGGCCCGCGGCCUAUCAGCUUGUUGGUGGGGUAAUGGCCUACCAAGGCGGCGACGGGUAGCCGGCCUGAGAGGGUGGACGGCCACAUUGGGACUGAGACACGGCACAGACUCCUACGGGAGGCAGCAGUGGGGAAUAUUGCACAAUGGGCGGAAGCCUGAUGCAGCGACGCCGCGUGGGGGAUGACGGCCUUCGGGUUGUAAACUACUUGCACCAUCGACGAAGGGUUUCUGACGGUAGAUGGAGAAGAAGCACCGGCUAACUAAGUG
This 466-nucleotide ribosomal RNA is filed under the name uncultured bacterium. Its description in RNAcentral is "partial 16S ribosomal RNA". It matches the Rfam family "Bacterial small subunit ribosomal RNA", at positions 28 to 507 of the family's 1533-position model. The record is from RNAcentral.